GUUGCUUCUUGGCAUUUUUACUAAAGUCAAAUGUACAAUCUUUUCUUAUCAGUUUAAUUUCUGAUACAUUCUCUACUUGAGGAAGACAUGUUAAAUGGAUUUUUGGAACAGGAAGAAGGAACAGGGACUUAUUCCAUCCAUUCUAUACACUGAUCUACUUGAAGGGAUCAGUGCACCCUUU
Ictidomys tridecemlineatus (thirteen-lined ground squirrel) is the source of this 181-nucleotide small nuclear RNA. Its record names the gene U2. It matches the Rfam family "U2 spliceosomal RNA". Rfam says of the family: U2 is a small nuclear RNA (snRNA) component of the spliceosome (involved in pre-mRNA splicing). NCBI's taxonomy places the organism in Eukaryota, Metazoa, Chordata, Mammalia, Rodentia, Sciuridae. The record is from Ensembl.